GAUAUUGGAAUGCUGGAAAUCCUGGAAAGUACAGCAGCUCCAAACACCACGUCGCUGCAGUCAAAGGGAUUGUCAGGACAACAUCAAGAACCCCGCGGAUUACAGUUUUGCGCAGAAGUUGUGCGGAGUAGACUUCAUGACGGCCGCUACUACCAUAUCGACUCUCUGCCGCAAACUACCAAUACCGCCAUGUUCCAGCUAUGACGCAGACCAACCACCGUCUGUGAACCACUACGCUCAAUGCACUCAAAACACCGUUAGCCGAUCGGGAAAAAUCGUGCCACCAUCGAGGAAUAAGCAGGAUCAUCGCUAUCUUCUCGAAUCAUCACAGCUAUGACGACAGGCUAGGCCUGUGAACGACUGCGUUAUCGCCGAAAACACCGUUGCCGAUUGGGACAAAUCGAGCCAUCGUCAAGCGCAGCGAGCAACAACACCUUUCACUACCUCCUCGCUUGACGACUAUACAGCUACGUCCAUCACCAAGGGUGAUCAACAAAGAGAUCUUCAUCGACUCAGCAAACACGCACAGCGUCAAUCACCACACUUCACCGAACGUGACAGUAUGCCCGACUAGAGCUUUGGUUAACGACUUCGCAAGCGGAUUGAGCUCGUCCGCAGCGACAGUGCGAAACUCACGCUGCAAACCUGCUUCUCGAGCGACAGCAGUAAUUUCUUCUCUAUGGACAACGCAUACUGAAGCAGUACGGAGUGUGCAGGUAUCGUCUGGACAGGCUCCUCAGUAAAUGGAGGUCACAAACAGGACCAUGCAGACCAAGAAUACCCGGAAAUGACUCCUCAGCGCCAAGGCGCUUUCCGUUCACGAAACGAGAAAAAUCGUACUCUGUGGGCUGGACGCAGUUCGCAGAGAGUCUCGUAAGGAGACAGUAUUGGAACGCCAGGCCAGGUUCUCCAAUACGACACCGAAAGACGUCACCAUUACACCCGCAAGGCCUCCCGCGGGCUAGCCGUUAGUCAGGGCGAGAGAAACUGACCGUGUUCAUGCUAAACGCAAACACGCCGUUACUGGAACGUGACAAACCAGCAAGAAGCUCUCUCGAGCGCGAUCCGUUAGUCAGGGCGAGAGAAACUGACCGUGUACAUGCCUCGCGCUGUCACGCCGUUGCUGGAACGUGACAAACCAGCAAAUCCAGCUAUGCAUGCAGAAACACGACUGCCAACAACGGAUGACCACUCCACGAAAAUCCGGACAGACAGACCGUUUGCCGAUCGGGAUAAAUCGAGCCGCGGAAGCAACAUCUGGACAACAGCACCAUUAAACCAUCUAUGAGCCACACCAGCUACGAAUAGAGUAUACUCCACCAAAAUACAGUCUUGGAACAAAACGACAAACCGUACUAAUCUGGAAUGGUGUCACUACAUACGAGGUGAAUCCAGAGUUUGAACCACAUGCUGAACUUGUCCUAAUUUCAGGGGAAGUGGCAUAAACGGGGUCGUCAAGAAAACCCUCCAUUCAAAAGCAACGCGAUCUGGAGGCGCGGUAAAACCUUCAUUCGGGCUCUUGGCGAUCAGGGAACUAAAUUCUCCCUUUCCAUGGAUUUGCUGCUUUUCCCUCCUUUUUUAUCACCAUAGUUUUAACCUCUUUUUUAAUUUUUUAAUUUGUUCAAUGUUUUGUGUUUUUGAGCAAAUGUUUUAAGUUAAGCUACUGUGUUGUGUUCGUAACCGUAGCGGAGGCGAGAAUUUAGAAGCUGGUAUAGGAACGGUCAGAGACGAUUUGCCAAGACUCGUUGGCGUUCGGUCAAGUCUUCCAGAAGUCGCUGGAGUAGUAUUUUGAUUUGGGCCUUUAAGUUUCGAUCUGGCAAGCAUUGCUGUGGCUUGCGUAGUUUCGUGGUUGCCUUAGGGUGGCCAGACCGAUGUCUCUGAUCGUUGCCUAGGUAUAGAGGUUUUUGAAUUUUUCAUGAAUCGUUUGUCUCCGAUUCAUGAAAAAUUCUUCCGUUGCGGUAGUGUAUGUAGCAUUAUAAUUAAGUUUGUCUAGCUAUUUUAUUUUGAGCGUGUAGUCCUACCAUGUGAGUGAAAAACAUACCAAAGAAUGAGUGUAUAGAAAUAAGAGUGUAGCCGUCAAACGCGCACGUGGAGAAAACAACAUAAACAAAGAGCAACGAUCAACAACAAUCAUCAACAAGCAACCAGAACAAGAACACGGUUAAGCGGUUAGAUUCGUCAUCGCGGUGAAUAAAAAGUGCCUGCUAUCAUUGGUGUACCGGAACCGAAGCCGAUCAAGGACGAUAUCCCGGAUUUGCUCAGUGAAAAGCUUCCAGACAACUGAUUGUGGGUAACACGUAGCAGCAUCGACCGAGCCAGCACUGACAAGAUUCAACCUCUGCUGAAGCAACGGUUGAUGCUAGCGUUGUGCUGAGAGAAGGAAGUAGAGCUCGAAAGAAUAUUUUAAGCUGCGCAAACCAGGUAGUAGGAACACAUACGGAACUGCUGCCCUGGUAUUCACCCAUCCGACGUUGGGAAUUGGAGGUGCAGGAAGAAAGCGACCCCUAGCGGGUGAGUAGCCAAAUUACUGUGCGAAAAAGGAGUUUAUGUAAAGCCAAAAUUAACAAUCGGCAGGUCGUUUUUGGGAGCUGAGAAAAUCGCUUUUCGGGACUCGAUUUUCGCCAUCUCGGUUUUGCGAGUCCCGUUUUUGCGAAAUCAAGCUGCGGACGUUGCGAGAGCCAGCCGGAAGUAGGCGGAAGU
Molecule: long non-coding RNA, 2700 nt
Organism: Uranotaenia lowii
Lineage: Eukaryota; Metazoa; Arthropoda; Insecta; Diptera; Culicidae
Exons: 4
Source: RefSeq, a predicted model, not a curated record